Eriocheir sinensis (Chinese mitten crab) is the source of this 2196-nucleotide long non-coding RNA. RefSeq lists it as uncharacterized. NCBI's taxonomy places the organism in Eukaryota, Metazoa, Arthropoda, Malacostraca, Decapoda, Varunidae. The record is from RefSeq and is a predicted model, not a curated record. The transcript is spliced from 2 exons.
AGUGUGUAUAGGAUAGCUUUACUCCGGGGGGUGUCCUCAGAACAGGUCCUUCCGCUGUGCCCCCGCCAGGAGAAGCAUGUAGGCAGGUAGGAGAAGCCAAACACCAUGAGAGAGUGCUGACUUUAUUCAUCCUUGUACACUGUCAAAAUACCGACUGACAUCGCACAGACACUUCCUGACGGACUCUCACUCACACUCUCUCACAUACUUAUACACGAACCUAAGUCUAGAGAAUCACGUUACAGUAUCAAAAAGCAGGUUCAGGACACUAACGUUACACUAAAGGACAUGAAGGCAACACUCUCCGGCUCUAUCCAUUUUUUAGCAUGCAGGGGACACUCAUGAAAUAGCGCAAUACUGCCUAGCUGACUCUCACUCACACUCUCUCCCAUACUUAUACACGAACCUAAAUCUAGAGAAUCACGCUGCAGAAUAAGAAAGCAGGUUCAAGACACAAACAUUACACUAAAGGCUCUAUCUGUUUCUAGCAAGUAGGGGAUACUCAUGAAAUAUCGCAAUACUGACUGACUGACACACUCACACUCUCUCCUAUAUUUGUACACGAACCUACAUUUAGAGAAUCACAUUGCAGAAACAGAAAGCAGGUUCAAGACACUAACGUCACACUAAAGGACACAAAGGCAACACUCUGGCCCCGCCCGUUCUCUAGAGAGCACGGGAUACUCAUACAAAUGUCAGGUAGAGGCUCAAUUCUUCACCCACGGACAUAACAAUUGGAGUAAUGCAUAGUUUUGAGACAAGAAAUAUAAGUUUGGCACAUCGAUCCCAUCUCCUACAUUCUAACUACACUAAAUUCUUUGUGAGGAUACUUGUAGAAAUGUCAGGAAGAGGCUCAAUUCUUUACCCAUGGACAUAACAAUUGGAGUAAUGUAUAGUUUUGAGACAAGAAAAACAAGUUUGGCAAAUCAUCCCUAUCUCCUAUAUUCUAACUACACUAAAUUCUUUGUGGCAUAAUACUAUUUACUACAAUCUAUAUAUAUCCUACAACAUGGCAGAAGAAUUAAUCAGCUAGUAUGCUUGAUAAUGACGCAAUUAAAAUGAUGCAGAAUACUUAAAUGCAGUAUGGCUAUUGAUUUUUUUCCUUUCUUUUUAUAUUCUUACUUUGCUGUCACUAUUUUUUUUCACACCCAUGUCUGCUACUUAAGGGGACUCUGUUUGGGUCUAUAGCAGUUUUUAUUUUCUCUCUCUCUCUCUCUCUCUCUCUCUCUCUCUCUCUCUCUCUCUCUCUCUCUCUCUCUCUCUCUCUCUCUCUCUCUCUCUCUCUCUCUCUCUUCAGCAAAAGGGGAGGCAGCUCUACGGUAAAUAAUAAAAGCAGAAAAAGAAAAGAAAAAAAAAAGCCUGCCCUAUGAUGCUAAAACAAAGGAAAAAACAACGAGAGGCUGGAAGAUGCCCUGACAUGGAUCUCUCACUAAUAAUAAUAAACAAUAAUGAUGACAAUAAUAUACUUUCUUGCUACUUCAGGAUAUAAUUUCUUCCACUCCAUGCCAAAGAGAAAAUAAUAAUGAUAACAAUAUACUUUUUCUAUAGCAACUUCAGGUUAAAAAAAAAUUCUUCCACCCCAUGCAAAAGAAACAACAAUAAUGAUAAUAUACUUUCUCUGUGGCAACUUCAGGUAAAAACAAAAAUUCUUCCACCCCAUGCAAAAGAAACAACAAUAAUGAUAAUAUAAUUUCUCUGUGGCUACUUCAGGUAAAAACAAAAAUUCUUCCACCCCAUGCAAAAGAAACAACAGUAAUGAUAAUAUACUUUCUCUGUGGCAACUUCAGGUAAAAACAAAAAUUCUUCCACCCCAUGCAAAAGAAACAACAAUAAUGAUAAUAUAAUUUCUCUGUGGCAACUUCAGGUUAAAAAACAAUUCUUCCACCCCAUGCAAAAGAAACAACAACAAUGAUAAUAUACUUUCUCUGUGGCAACUUCAGGUAAAAACAAAAAUUAUUCCACCCCAUGCAAAAGAAACAACAAUAAUGAUAAUAUAAUUUCUCUGUGGCUACUUCAGGUUAAAAAAAAAAUUCUUCCAUUCCAUGCAAAAGAAACAACAACAAUGAUAAUAUACUUUCUCUGUGGCUACUUCAGGUUAAAAAAAUAUUCUUCCACUCCAUGUCAAAGAGAAAAUGAUAAUGGCGUCAAUAUACUUUCCCUGGCUACUGGACGACAAAAUUUCUUCCACUUCAUGCC